This 1423-nucleotide long non-coding RNA is filed under the name Numida meleagris (helmeted guineafowl). RNAcentral describes it as "lncRNA (ENSNMEG00000005044.1)". Lineage: Eukaryota; Metazoa; Chordata; Aves; Galliformes; Numididae. The record is from RNAcentral.
CUCUUCAUCCACCUGCAUGACCAGGACCAGAGCGUGGCUCAGGUGGGCAUUUCUGAGCCGGGCGCUCUCUCGAGGAAGGCGGUGCUGACACCCCUGAGCAUGGCCUGAGCAUCGGAAGGAUCUGCGCUGCAGCCCCAGCAGCAUCCAGUGCCAGAGGAGGUGGUUGCCCCACUCCUCUGCCUGAGCACAGAACAGAGACCUUUCCCCAGCUGCUGCAUCUUCCCCCCUGGGCCCAGGAAAGCCCCGAGCCGUGUCAAGGUGCAGGAUGCACAGGCCGUAUUCCACGGGCGCUGGAGGCAUCUCCCGGUCUCUGUUCCUCUGCAGGCCUCCUGGGAAGCCCUUCUUUGUGCAGCCAAGCUGCUGAAGCGCAAGCGCCUCAGGUACUUGCUGAAGACAGUGCAGACACAGAGGAUUGGCGAGUGCCUGGUGAGGACAAGUGGCCCAGAGCUCCCAAGACCUGGCCCAAACGAGGCCUGCCAGCCGUGGCCCGGGGCGUGGGGCCGGUCCCUGUGCCUGUACCACAGCUGCGGGCCGCAGGGCACAGCCUGCCGCCGUUUGUGCCCCUCUUUCCCUCAAGCGCAUGGGAGCUCGGCCUCUUCUGCGGCCUCCUCUCUCUCCCAGAGGCCUGGCCUGCUCCUGCUGGCUGGCUGUGGGGGCCGGGGUCCCGGCAGGUGAAGGCAGCGGAGGCUGGUCCCGGGCACGGGGCCGGCCUGCCCCAGGGGGAGAGCCUGCGCCAGCCCCAUCCACGCAUGCUGUCUUCCAGCUGGUGGGCCACGGCAGCAGAGUGGAGCAGUUCCUGGAGCAGAGCCUGUCCUACCUGUGGAGCCCCCAGGAGCCCCUGCAAGAGGCGGCCAUCAGGUUCAUUGGUGAGCCACGAGCCCUGGCCCUUCUGUGCCUCACAGCAGCUUGGCCCCGGCGCCGGCUGCUGCUGACUGAGCCACGUGCCCGUGGAGUCACGCCGGCCCAACGUGGGGCCAGGGCAUUCGCGGGGCUCCCUGCUGCCUUCCGCCAGCCCUGCCCACAUAGCGGGUGCUGGUGGGAGCCUUGCUGGGUGCCUCACAGCCUCCUUGGGUGCUGCAGUUGCGGGUGCGAGGCCAGGCCAGCAGGAAUGCCGGGGGGGAUGGGCUGUGCUGGGGGGAUGGGCUGUGCUGGAGGGAUGGGCUGUGCUGGAGGGAUGGGCUGUGCUGGGGGGAUGGGCUGGCCAGUGGGAUGUGUGACGGGCUGUGCGUGCCUAGGGCUUGCCGGGCAGCACUUGAGAGAUGGGCGUGAGGAGAAGCUGGACAACAUCAUCGAGGCCCUGAGGAGUUUGGAGGACACCGGCAGCCCUUCUGUUUCCACGCUGGUGGCUGAAACGGUCCGGAUCCUGAGGACUGCCCCUGGAUUCAGCCUGCAGGCUGUGCGCUCUCGGCUCUUCAGCAUGUGA